UAAUACGGAGGGGGCAAGCGUUGUUCGGAAUUAUUGGGCGUAAAGGGUAUGUAGGCGGUCGAGUAAGUCAGGCGCGUAAGCCCGUGGCUCAACCACGGAAUUGCGUUUGAAACUACUCGACUUGAGUACAGAAGAGGAAAGCGGAAUUCCCAGUGUAGCGGUGAAAUGCAUUGAUAUUGGGAAGAACAUCUGUGGCGAAGGCGGCUUUCUGGUCUGUUACUGACGCUGAGAUACGAAAGCCAGGGGAGCGAACGGGAUUAGAUACCCCGGUAGUCCUGGCUGUAAACGAUGGGCACUAGGUGCAGGAGGUAUCGAUCCCCUCUGUGCCGCAGCUAACGCAUUAAGUGCCCCGCCUGGGGAGUACGGUCGCAAGGCUG
RNAcentral lists this ribosomal RNA (377 nucleotides) under uncultured Nitrospinaceae bacterium. RNAcentral's name for it is "bacterial SSU rRNA". It matches the Rfam family "Bacterial small subunit ribosomal RNA", at positions 521 to 896 of the family's 1533-position model. The record is from RNAcentral. Lineage: Bacteria; Pseudomonadati; Nitrospinota; Nitrospinia; Nitrospinales; Nitrospinaceae.